UACGGAGGGUGCAAGCGUUGUCCGGAUUUAUUGGGUUUAAAGGGUGCGUAGGCGGCUCCUUAAGUCAGCGGUGAAAGCCCGGGGCUCAACCCCGGAACCGCCGUUGAUACUGGGGGGCUUGAGUAUGGACGAGGUUGGCGGAAUUGAGGGUGUAGCGGUGAAAUGCAUAGAUAGCAUCCAGAACCCCGAUUGCGAAGGCAGCUGCCUAGACUGUAACUGACGCUGAGGCACGAAAGCGUGGGGAGCGAACAGG
RNAcentral lists this ribosomal RNA (253 nucleotides) under uncultured bacterium. Its description in RNAcentral is "partial 16S ribosomal RNA". It matches the Rfam family "Bacterial small subunit ribosomal RNA", at positions 524 to 776 of the family's 1533-position model. The record is from RNAcentral.